RNAcentral lists this ribosomal RNA (207 nucleotides) under uncultured bacterium. Its description in RNAcentral is "partial 16S ribosomal RNA". It matches the Rfam family "Bacterial small subunit ribosomal RNA", at positions 568 to 774 of the family's 1533-position model. The record is from RNAcentral.
CGCGUAGGCGGGCUGUCAAGUCUGGGGUGAAAUCCCACGGCUCAACCGUGGAACUGCCUUAGAUACUGACGGCCUCGAGGGAGAUAGGGGCGAGCGGAACUGUGAGUGGAGCGGUGAAAUGCGUUGAUAUUCACAGGAACUCCGGUGGCGAAGGCGGCUCGCUGGAUCUUUUCUGACGCUGAGGCGCGAAAGCUAGGGGAGCAAACG